GAAUUUUGGACAAUGGGCGAAAGCCUGAUCCAGCAAUGCCGCGUGCAGGACGAAGGCCUUCGGGUUGUAAACUGCUUUUGUACGGAACGAAAAGCUUUGGGUUAAUACCCUGGAGUCAUGACGGUACCGUAAGAAUAAGCCCCGGCUACCUACGUGCCAGCAGCCGCGGUAAUACGGAGGGUGCAAGCGUUAAUCGGAAGUACUGGGCGUAACGCGUGCUCCGGGGGUUGUGUAAGACAGAGGUGAAAUCCCCGAGCUCAACCGGGGAACUGCCUGUGUGACUGCAAGGCUAGAGUACGGCAGAGGGGGGUGGAAUUCCGCGUGUAGCAGUGAAAUGCGUAGAUAUGCGGAGGAACACCGAUGGCGAAGGCAACCCCCUGGGCCUGUACUGACGCUCAUGCACGAAAGCGUGGGGAGCAAA
This 421-nucleotide ribosomal RNA is filed under the name uncultured bacterium. Its description in RNAcentral is "partial 16S ribosomal RNA". It matches the Rfam family "Bacterial small subunit ribosomal RNA", at positions 359 to 772 of the family's 1533-position model. The record is from RNAcentral.